This 662-nucleotide long non-coding RNA is filed under the name Mus musculus (house mouse). RNAcentral describes it as "long non-coding RNA chr17:51881719-51882381". Lineage: Eukaryota; Metazoa; Chordata; Mammalia; Rodentia; Muridae. The record is from RNAcentral.
UUUGGGGAUGGGACUCAGAUUGUCAGGCUUGUAUGGCAAAGAUUUUUUUACCAGCUGAGCCAUCUUCCCGGUCCCAAAAUUGGAUUUUUAAGAUUAAAAAAAAAAAACAACUUAUUUUUCAGUGUUGGCAAAAUGGUAUGAAAAGAGGCACUGUCAUAUGCUGUUGGUGAGAGUGUAAAUUUUUAAAAUCUUUCUGGAAGGCAGUUUGGCCAUAUCUAUUGAAUGCCUUAGAAUUUUGCAUAAAACCUUUAAACCAGUGUUUUCACUUUAGGGGAUUCAUGCUAAGAAAAUAGUCAUAAAUGUUUGUAAAAUUUUAGCUACAAGAUUUUUAUGGAAGUUUUUUUGGUAGGAACAAGAACGGGAUAAGACAUAAAUAUUUAACAAGCAGGCUCUAUUCAGCCAUUAAAAAUGAUACUAGAGAAAUAUUUAAUGCCAUUGAAGGCAGGGAAGCUGGUUAAAAAACCAGGUUCAAUGAGGCUCUAUUUUGUAAAAAUACUUUUUUUUUUUACAUCAAAAACACUGGAUGAAAACAAACUGGAGCAUUAACAGUCAGUACUUUCCCAAAUAAUGGAAUUAUUUAUGACAUUUUUCAAACUUGGAAAUAACUUUACAUUUUUAUGUUUUAAAACUAUUUAGUACAGUAGUUGUAGAAAUUUGAAACU